RNAcentral lists this ribosomal RNA (253 nucleotides) under uncultured bacterium. Its description in RNAcentral is "partial 16S ribosomal RNA". It matches the Rfam family "Bacterial small subunit ribosomal RNA", at positions 524 to 776 of the family's 1533-position model. The record is from RNAcentral.
UACGGAGGGAGCUAGCGUUGUUCGGAAUUACUGGGCGUAAAGCGCACGUAGGCGGCUUUGUAAGUUAGAGGUGAAAGCCCGGGGCUCAACUCCGGAAUUGCCUUUAAGACUGCAUCGCUAGAACGUCGGAGAGGUGAGUGGAAUUCCGAGUGUAGAGGUGAAAUUCGUAGAUAUUCGGAAGAACACCAGUGGCGAAGGCGACUCACUGGACGACUGUUGACGCUGAGGUACGAAAGCGUGGGGAGCAAACAGG